CGUGUUUAUCCUGCCGGAGAUGCAAAGCGCGGAUCGCAUUGGGAGAAAGAAUCGCUGUUUUUCAGAUCCGGGCGGCUCGAUUCUCCAGUUUAGGAGCCCGAAGUCGGGAGCAUUUCGCUCGACUGAACGGUGGCUGCUCGGCCUCGCAUGGAAAACUAAGACAAUUUGACAAUAGCGACAUUUUUUUUUUUAAAUGGCCGUCGCUCUGAGUCUGCACCUUCACUUACUUUAUUUUGUGUUUUUUUAAUUUAUUGUUAUGCAAGGAUUUAACAUACCAAAAAGAUGAUUCGGAGCUCCGUGUUCGGCAGGGGAAGCGGCCAACGACCGGCUGAAUGCAAUACAUAGAGCUGAAGGAUAUAUUUUAUGGGUUGCAUUUGAUUCUGCCGGCCUGGCCCUCUUCGGAUUUCGGAUUACUCCACGUUUGUCGGAAUGGAAGGACGGGAUUUCGCCUCGCCGGCGCACCUUUUAUCGGAGCGGGGCGCCCUGGUGCACCGGGCCGCCUCUCGGAUCGCUCCCUCCGGCCACGGCUCGGUGCAGCACGCCGGCCACUUCCAGCCGGGGAAAUAUUAUCCUUCGCACAUACCGAUGGCUCCUCACUCAGGUUUGUAAAAAAAAUCCCCUACUUUCAUGUAACAAAGACCAACCUUCCUGGCGACCAGUCCUAUAUUUCCCAUUUUUUAUUAAAUGGAAUAUUCCCAUUUAUAUUUCGACUAAGUGGCCCACACGCUACAGGGCUGAUUGCACCACAGUAUACCAGUUUUCUUUUCCAUUUCACAAAUAUAUGCUUUCAACCAAAAUAUUUGCCCCGAACAAACGGAAAAAGAAGAUUAUGUGUGUUUGGAUAAUUGCUGCUACGUGUUUAGGGUUUUAGACGGUUUGGCAAAGGCUGCGUGGAGCUGUAUUCCCAACUGGUCGAACAGAAGGACGCACGACGCAUGGGCACACGCAGCACAGUGGCUUCGGUGCUGUGCGUCCAACGAGAUUUGCCACUUCAUAUUAAAUUCAUGACCGUCACGUUGGCACCCAUGGUUGUUUUUCCAUAACCUGGCCAUAUUAUUCCAGUGCCUUCCUUGCAGUGCAGGUGAAUUGACUGGGACAUCACGAGGUUUAAUUAAACACCCCCCCCCGGGGCUGUGUGUUUUUAAUACUACAAUAUCUACCUUCUAUAUUGGGCACUAAAGUGUCGGGGUGCAAAUGGGUUCACGGUGCAUGCGUGAGGUUUAACGGGUGACUCGGGUGUCUUGUGUGUAGUUGCCGCAUGCAAAUGUUGGAAGGCAGGGGCGGCAGGUCCGUGGUGGGCUGCAGCAUCAGGGCCCAGUGGGCUGAAGCAUUGUCCCUCUUGGUCAUUUCCCGGAAAUCGGUCGUAAAUAAGGGGUUAACCUUGCUAGCCACGUGAGCUUGUAAUAUGCGUUUAAUUUGAUAUUAUUGCUUUAAAAUGACAACAUAGAAAAAAAUAUAUAUAGAGGUAUAUGUUCCCAUCCCAUCUUUUAUGCGGUCAGUAAUUGCAGAGGUCUACAGGAAACGCAUCAUAUUUUGAACCGAUAAAACCGUAGCCUAAUUACUGAUUUAUAAUUGACGUGAAGGAGGCACAAUUGUUUUUUAAUAUCCAUUGCUUUACCCAUUCCAAUUAACACAUAUAUUAUACAUGUAUUUAUGUGUUCUUACAUAUGAAUCUGUUGGAAAUAGAGGAUUGAAUGUGAGUUGAAUGCGGGAAACAUAUAAUUCAGUUAAACAUUAGACAUAUUAGGACUAUUCUGUUCAAAUAUUAACAUACUGACUGUAACACACACACACACACACACACACACACACACACACACACACACACACACACACACACACACACACACACACACACACACACACACACACACACACACACACA
This is a long non-coding RNA of Gadus macrocephalus (Pacific cod), 1885 nucleotides long. RefSeq lists it as uncharacterized. The record is from RefSeq and is a predicted model, not a curated record. The transcript has 2 exons. NCBI's taxonomy places the organism in Eukaryota, Metazoa, Chordata, Actinopteri, Gadiformes, Gadidae.